AAUUAAAAAAUUGAUAAUAUAAGGGAAAAUAAUGAUAUUACCUUAUUAUUAGUGUCGUCCAAAACUGGUGCCAGAAGACUCGGUAAGGCCAGAGACAUAAACGUUAAUCGUCUUAAUCAGGCGUAAAGGGUUUGUAGGCGGCUUUUAAUUAAAUUAUAAAAAUUAAAAUAAUUUAAGAAUAAAAGCUAGAAUCAAAUAGAGGAUAUAUAAAAUAAUGCUUAGAGUAGGUCUGAUAUCCUUAGAUACUAAGUAGAAUAUUAAAGGCGAAAGCUUUUUUCCAUAAAUGAUUGACGCUCAGAAACGAAGGUGAGGAUAGGAAAUAGGAUUAGAUACCCAAAAUACCCCUCUCUGUCAACGAUGAAUGGUAAUUAUUAAUAAUAAAUUUAUUAUUAAUGGUAAUGUUAACACGAUAACCAUUCCGCCUUGUGAGUACAACUGCAAAGUUGAAAACAAA
Molecule: ribosomal RNA, 454 nt
Filed under: Russula viridicinnamomea
Lineage: Eukaryota; Fungi; Basidiomycota; Agaricomycetes; Russulales; Russulaceae
Description: SSU rRNA
Rfam family: Bacterial small subunit ribosomal RNA
Source: RNAcentral